CAUGUGCACCAUCAGCCCCACCCAGCAACAGGGGCAAAUGGAUAAUCAGCCCCACCUAACAACAUGGCCGUAUACACCAGCAGUCCCAUCUAGCAACAAAGGCAUGUGCACCACCAGUCCCGCCUAGAAACAGGGUAACAUGCACCACUAGCCCCACCUAGCAACAGGAUUACAUGCACCACAAGCCCCACCUAGGAACAAAGACACAUGUACUACCAGCCUCACCUGGCAGCAGGGUUACAUGCACCACCAGCCCACCUAGAAACAGGGGCCCUGCACCAUCUGCCUAACAUGCAUGUUGUGGGUUCCAUAACAUGGGGCCAGAAGACCAUCUAUGGCUUAUUACAUUAAUUUACAAUAUCUGUAACUAUGUGACCGGUGGCAUCAAAAGCCUGCGGUCCCUGGUUACAGCACCGCCUAUGCUGCCUGGAGGGCACCUUUGGUCAAGUAAGACUCCCUGGUACAGCUCAAUCUGCUGAACUGGAACUAUAUCCAAGUACACCUGUCAGUCAUUACAUACAAAAUUAAGUGCCUAAUAUUGUUUAAAUCCCCCCCCCCACCCGUGCCACUAAAGCAACUCUGAACUAUCGUGGCCAGGACCUCUGUGGACUUCCUGUGGUGUCUGGCACCAAGAUCCUUGCCGACCUCAGACUGAGUACCCGGCUGGAUCCUGCAGGCUGCAGCCCGAGAUCAUCUGACCCCACAUGGAGAGUUGAUAUGCCAAUACCAAGAUAUACCCCAGCAGUGCCAGUAGGCUAUUCUAUUAAGAACAGCACUCCGUCCGCAGCUAUCAGGAUACUGAAGGACCGUAUGAGCGAAAAAUUAUAUUUCCUGCUGUUCAGAAUAAGAAGCGCUCAACGACAGCCAGAGGAUGCGGCUUGGCUCUGUAAAAAAGGGUCUUGCAAAAAAUAUAUAUAGUAAAAGUAGUAUAUAAUUUAUUUAUUUGCUAGCUGAGUAUCCAGCGAUGCUCGGUGUUUCCUCCCUAAUCCUUGUUGGGGAGGAAAAUCAACAAAGGAGGAAGCAUAUCCCAUCCUCAUAUAUUCUGGGCCUGACCAAGCGUGACCAAGCAGUUUUUACCGCAAAAUGUUGCUGCACGGGCUGAACCCAUUUUCCUGUCUCUCCCUGCUCCCACUGUACUGGCGUGAUCCCUGCAUGUACCGCACCGUGAUCGAAAAAUAAAACUGGA
This is a long non-coding RNA of Hyla sarda, 1186 nucleotides long. RefSeq lists it as uncharacterized. The record is from RefSeq and is a predicted model, not a curated record. The transcript is spliced from 3 exons. Lineage: Eukaryota; Metazoa; Chordata; Amphibia; Anura; Hylidae.